CCUUCCAACUUUAUAUUCUUCUUUACAAUUUCUCAUAUCACAUAUAAGAUUAUGCACAUUGUUUAGGAAUUCACCAUUUUAUAAAUAUUUUGAUUUAAACUAGCGUUUUUACCUAUUUCGAUGCAUAGAUUUAUGUUCAUUUCUUGUUCUUGUUCUCAAAUCCUUUCACCUAUUUCUAUUCACUUCUUUUACUUGCUUAUAGUUUUUGAUUCAAAAUCCUAAAUUGGUGAGGCUAGUUAUUUCUUAAUUUACCUCAGUGACGUAGGGUUUAAAAAUUGAUUUAUGUUGACUUGGAUUAAUAUUAUGGGUGUUAUUUGGGUAGUAUCUAUGUCUAAUACUUUAAUUUGAUCAAUCAAAGACUUUGGAAACCAUUGGGUUGAACCUGCAGUUUUCGAACUGUUGUUUCCUUCCUGUUCGGAGUGAAAAUGAUGUAAUUUGUAAAAGUUGUACUCAUAUGAAAUGAAGCUUUGAAUUUCAACGAAAUUUUGGCUUUGGUAUCAUGUCAUUUAGGAUUUUGUAGCUCAAGUUUUGAUAACUUUAGUGAGCAAAGGUCUUGUUGUAAAAGGGUUCAGCUACUCCUUAAUUGAAUAGACAUCAAAUCCCCUAGUUUGUUUGGAUUCAAUUUGAAUUGGCUGAAGGUUUUUGGACCCAAUUUCUGUUAAUGCAUAAACCAUGUGGGUAAAUUGUUACUGUCUUUUGAAUUGGACAGGAUUUGUGCUUGGCAUAGAUAAGAAAGGAGUGGAGACAGAGCAUUCUGAUACCGUAAGGGAACGUUGACAUUUCAGUGGAGUGAUUCCCCUAGGCCUCAUUGUUGCUGUUUGCUUCUGCAACAACUUGUUUUCUUUGUUUUUUGGUUCCUCGCUGGCUCUUAGGAUAUUUAGAUUAGGAGCUGUUUGUUUAGCUUAUUAACUGUCUCCUUUUCCAUUUAUCAGCUGUACCAUGGGUUGGAAUACCCCUUGUAUUCCUAUUUAUUCAAUUCAUUGGCUUAUAAAAAAAAUGUAAUUGAUGCUGCAACUGUUUGGUAAUGAUCAUGGCAUAUUGAUUAGGAAAAGAAUCAUGGCAUUCCUUCCUGCACAAAUGAGGCCUUUUACUAGGAUGGUCCUCAAUGAGGAAAUGGUUCUAGUGCUGCUGGGUAAGGCUGGACAACUAAAAAAGCAUGAAGACCUGGUGGAUAAGAUGGUUUCCAGGGGAUUUGUCUCUCACCCUUUGUAGAAGUAGCUUCAUCCUUCACAUCAAUGAGCCAAAUUGCAGAACUUCCAAGGUAAUCAGUUGAACACUCAUUCUCCAAUUGAAAGUUUAUCAACUCACAAGUCACAAGGCUCCCGUGUAUUUUGUUUAGGAAGGUAUAUAUCUUUAACAAGGGCCUCGGGUAUGGCCAUGGAAGUACAAUUAUUAGCUACUUUCAUUUUUUGGUAGAAAACUGCAUUAGUGCAAAUGCUCAAAGGAAGGCUGCCAGGGCUAUUAAAAUUUCCCGAGCUCAAUGACUUUGGUAUUCUAUGUAUGCAAGGUGAGGGAGUACUU
This is a long non-coding RNA of Lotus japonicus, 1521 nucleotides long. RefSeq lists it as uncharacterized. Lineage: Eukaryota; Viridiplantae; Streptophyta; Magnoliopsida; Fabales; Fabaceae. The transcript is spliced from 5 exons. The record is from RefSeq and is a predicted model, not a curated record.